Long non-coding RNA from Cornus florida, 712 nucleotides. RefSeq lists it as uncharacterized. The record is from RefSeq and is a predicted model, not a curated record. The transcript has 2 exons. Lineage: Eukaryota; Viridiplantae; Streptophyta; Magnoliopsida; Cornales; Cornaceae.
AUGACCAAGUUUUUUUUUUUUUUUUUCUUUUUAUAUACAUUUUUUUUAUUUCAUUUUGUUAUGUUAUGGGGCCUAGAUUGACUAGUGGAUGAGAUAUAUGUGGAUGAGGAUGUGUGUGACAUGUAUAUGUGUGUUUGUAUAGAGAGAGAGAAUGAAAGACAAACCAAACCCUCUCAUUCUUCCACUCCACCGACACUUUCUCUUCUCUCUCCCAUUCUUUUCUUGUUCAUUUUACUUCAACCAUUUCACCUCCAACCUUUGAGAUUUUGAGCUUGCAUAGAAGGGAAGUUGACGGGGACUACGAGAGGAACAAAACCCCUCAAUCAAUUUCAGAUUUGGAGCACAUUUUUCCUUUGGAGUAGCUAAGGUUUGCUCCUAGCUUGAGGAAAGGGCAUUGCACUAGAGGAGGUUCCUCAUCCCUAGCUUGAUUGGGAUAUUGACAACAUUUUUGAGCUACUUGUGAUAAUUGUAACAUGCAUUGUGUAGCUUACUUUUAGACUUGUAUUGUAACUCAUGGUGUAUUUGGAUAAUGUAUUUGAUGAUACAUGUUUGUAAUAUUCUGUUGGAAGGGGAAAAUGACUUAGGAACUCACACAUCCAUCUUUGGAGUUCUUAUGGAAUUUCCUCUCUUAUCUCAAUUCAUGUAAUCCCAUAACAUUAUUUCUCACCUUAUGGUUUUAAUGAGGCCAUGGAGGCCAUAAUUUCUACUUGGA